AGACCCGAAACCCGGUGAUCUAGCCAUGGGCAGGUUGAAGGUUGGGUAACACUAACUGGAGGACCGAACCGACUAAUGUUGAAAAAUUAGCGGAUGACCUGUGGCUGGGGGUGAAAGGCCAAUCAAACCGGGAGAUAGCUGGUUCUCCCCGAAAGCUAUUUAGGUAGCGCCUCGUGAAUUCAUCUCCGGGGGUAGAGCACUGUUUCGGCUAGGGGGCCAUCCCGGCUUACCAACCCGAUGCAAACUGCGAAUACCGGAGAAUGUUAUCACGGGAGACACACGGCGGGUGCUAACGUCCGUCGUGAAGAGGGAAACAACCCAGACCGCCAGCUAAGGUCCCAAAGUCAUGGUUAAGUGGGAAACGAUGUGGGAAGGCCCAGACAGCCAGGAUGUUGGCUUAGAAGCAGCCAUCAUUUAAAGAAAGCGUAAUAGCUCACUGGUCGAGUCGGCCUGCGCGGAAGAUGUAACGGGGCUAAACCAUGCACCGAAGCUGCGGCAGCGACACUCAGGUGUUGUUGGGUAGGGGAGCGUUCUGUAAGUCUGCGAAGGUGGCCUGUGAGGGUUGCUGGAGGUAUCAGAAGUGCGAAUGCUGACAUAAGUAACGAUAAAGCGGGUGAAAAGCCCGCUCGCCGGAAGACCAAGGGUUCCUGUCCAACGUUAAUCGGG
RNAcentral lists this ribosomal RNA (666 nucleotides) under Salmonella enterica subsp. enterica serovar Infantis. RNAcentral's name for it is "partial 23S ribosomal RNA". It matches the Rfam family "Bacterial large subunit ribosomal RNA", at positions 711 to 1373 of the family's 2925-position model. Lineage: Bacteria; Pseudomonadati; Pseudomonadota; Gammaproteobacteria; Enterobacterales; Enterobacteriaceae. The record is from RNAcentral.